Molecule: long non-coding RNA, 448 nt
Organism: Sebastes umbrosus (honeycomb rockfish)
Lineage: Eukaryota; Metazoa; Chordata; Actinopteri; Perciformes; Sebastidae
Exons: 2
Source: RefSeq, a predicted model, not a curated record
UAUUAUAUUAAAGUAUAAUAAUAAUAAUAAUAUAUUAUAUUAUAGUAUAAUAAUAAUGAGCGUGUCAGUGAUCUUCUGGAUGUUUCACGCUGCUCCUUUAAAGAGGCUUUGUAGUUCAUGUGUUUGUUUUGGAGCGCUGUGAUGUCACUUCCUGUUAAAAUGAGUUGUUUUUUAUGAGUUUGUGCUGAAACGUGACAGAAACAUAGAAACCUUCAUUCAUUUAUUUAUUUAUUUAUUAUUUUCUUUAAACUAUUGUUUCAAAGAUCCUGCUGACUUUUUUUGCCGUUUGAAUAAAAAGAUUUUCAGAUUAACACCGGUGUUCACCGCAUGUCGCCGCCAUCGCCGCCAUUUAUCACAUCAGACUUGUUAAUAUGUGAAUUCUUGUAUAAAUGAGUAAAUGUACAAUAUUGUAUAAGAAUAACAAAACCAAUAAAAACUUUGAAAACAG